AGACGAAGGUGGCGAGCGUUGUUCGGAAUCACUGGGCUUAAAGGGUACGUAGGCGGGCUGUCAAGCGUCAUGGGAAAGCCCUCGGCUCAACCGAGGAAUUGCCUGGCGAACUGAUAGUCUUGAGGCAGGUAGGGGCGAGUGGAACUCUUGGUGGAGCGGUGGAAUGCGUAGAUAUCAAGAGGAACGCCAGAGGCGAAGGCGACUCGCUGGGCCUGACCUGACGCUGAGGUACGAAAGCCAGGGGAGCGAACGGGAUUAGAAACCCGAGUAGUCC
This 274-nucleotide ribosomal RNA is filed under the name uncultured bacterium. RNAcentral describes it as "partial 16S ribosomal RNA". It matches the Rfam family "Bacterial small subunit ribosomal RNA", at positions 523 to 796 of the family's 1533-position model. The record is from RNAcentral.